GAUGAACGCUAGCGGGAGGCUUAACACAUGCAAGUCGAGGGGCAGCAUAGGGUAGCAAUACUCUGAUGGCGACCGGCAAACGGGUGAGUAACGCGUAUGCAACCUACCCUGUACAGGGGGAUAACCCGGAGAAAUUCGGACUAAUAUCCCGUAAUAAUAUCCGGAGGCAUCUUUGGAUAUUUAAAGUUUCGACGGUACGGGAUGGGCAUGCGUAACAUUAGCUGGUUGGUAAGGUAACGGCUUACCAAGGCUAUGAUGUUUAGGGGUCCUGAGAGGGUGGUCCCCCACACUGGUACUGAGGCACGGACCAGACUCCUACGGGAGGCAGCAGUGAGGAAUAUUGGUCAAUGGGCGCAAGCCUGAACCAGCCAUCCCGCGUGCAGGAAGACGGCCCUAUGGGUUGUAAACUGCUUUUCCAGGGAGAGAAACUUACGCACGUGUUGCGUGACUGACGGUACCCUGGGAAUAAGCAUCGGCUAACUCCGUG
RNAcentral lists this ribosomal RNA (487 nucleotides) under uncultured bacterium. RNAcentral describes it as "bacterial SSU rRNA". It matches the Rfam family "Bacterial small subunit ribosomal RNA", at positions 28 to 507 of the family's 1533-position model. The record is from RNAcentral.